This 812-nucleotide unclassified non-coding RNA is filed under the name Hevea brasiliensis (rubber tree). Lineage: Eukaryota; Viridiplantae; Streptophyta; Magnoliopsida; Malpighiales; Euphorbiaceae. The record is from RNAcentral.
GGAAACAAAUGAGAAGUUGUUGUACCAGCUCACUUAAACAUGCUAUGAGGUGUUCAAUAAUUCAAUUAAUAUUUCACUCUUCAAAUGAAGUGAAGAUUAAUUACAUAAAAAAUUUAUUUAAUACAUAUGCUAUCAGUUUGGUUUCAGUUAAUUGUGUAGUUUGAAUUAUGAGGACAGAAAUCAAAUUGAAGUUAUUAAAUAUAAUGAAUCAAAACUGAAUGAAAUGGACUAGUUAACCAAAUUUUUCGGUUUAAUUUUUUGAUUUCAUGGUUUCUUUUGCUCACCCCUACUUGUAUCCCCAUAGAAAAACAACCACUGUCCCAAGCAAGCAAUCAUGAACUGCUUUCUGCAGAGCUAAUACAGCUCUAGCAGAUGAACCUGACCAUGAGUGAGUUGUACACUAAUGCAUCAGAAGUUGUCUUUGAAGAGGGAUAAGCAUUUCAAUCAAUGAUAACCAAUACUAGAUUAUAAGACCCUCUCAACAGAUUAGGCAUAGUCAACUUGGAUAUUAAAUUAGUACUUUUCAAUCUUGGGGGAAUAUGAUUUGCAUUACAUAAUAGCAAGCAAAAACAAGCACGAGGAUAUAACAAGUAUUCAUUCUUAAAAGUAACUGAGCAAUCAAGGAACAUUCUUUAAAUUCAAAAGCUUCACAUGUCAGAACCAAAAUUUCUUAUUGCCAGAAACAAACAAGAGUAAUGUCACAGCAGUUUCAGAUUCCAUGAACUUCUCAAAAGCAAAUUAAAUUUAGGGUAAAUAACUAAAUAUUUUAUUUUCAAUUUGAAACAAUUAAGUCCUCCAAUUUUAAUUCUGGC